Molecule: ribosomal RNA, 973 nt
Filed under: human gut metagenome
Description: bacterial LSU rRNA
Rfam family: Bacterial large subunit ribosomal RNA
Source: RNAcentral
CCUAAGGUAGCGAAAUUCCUUGUCGGGUAAGUUCCGACCCGCACGAAAGGCGUAACGAUUUGGGCACUGUCUCAACAAUAGACUCGGUGAAAUUGUAAUCCCGGUGAAGAUGCCGGGUACCUGCGACAGGACGGAAAGACCCCAUGGAGCUUUACUGUAGCUUGACGUUGGGUCUUGGUACUACAUGUACAGGAUAGGUGGGAGACUAUGAAGCAUGGACGCCAGUCUGUGUGGAGUCAUCCUUGGGAUACCACCCUUGUAGUACUGGGAUCCUAACCAUAGGCCUUGAAUCAGGUCUUGGAACACCGUCAGGUGGGCAGUUUGACUGGGGCGGUCGCCUCCUAAAAAGUAACGGAGGCGCUCAAAGGUUUCCUCAGCACGGUCGGAAAUCGUGCGAAGAGUGUAAAGGCAAAAGGAAGCUUGAUUGCAAGACAUACAGGUCGAGCAAGGACGAAAGUCGGACUUAGUGAUCCGGUGGUACCGCAUGGAAGGGCCAUCGCUCAACGGAUAAAAGCUACCCUGGGGAUAACAGGCUUAUCUCCCCCAAGAGUCCACAUCGACGGGGAGGUUUGGCACCUCGAUGUCGGCUCAUCACAUCCUGGGGCUGUAGUAGGUCCCAAGGGUUGGGCUGUUCGCCCAUUAAAGUGGUACGCGAGCUGGGUUCAGAACGUCGUGAGACAGUUCGGUCCCUAUCCGUCGCAGGCGUAGGAAAUUUGAGAAGACCUGUCCUUAGUACGAGAGGACCGGGAUGGACGUACCUCUGGUGUACCAGUUGUUCUGCCAAGGGCAUGGCUGGGUAGCUAUGUACGGAAUGGAUAAGCGCUGAAAGCAUCUAAGCGCGAAGCCAACUUCAAGAUAAGAUUUCCCACCGUAAGGGUAAGACCCCAGGAAGACUACCUGGUUGAUAGGUCGAAGGUGUAAGUGCAGUAAUGUAUUUAGCUUAUCGAUACUAAUAGGUCGAGGACUUGACCAA